AUGCGGGCUCUGAUGGAUGUUCGGUGCAAGAAUCUAGUGAACCCUGUAUGCGACUGGCUCGGUGAGAUUUACGAGCCCGCCUCCAGGGAAUUUGUGAUUCCGGGACGUGGAAGACUGCCGUUAGAUGAGGAAUCUGUGUUCUGCAUGUUGGGUGUGCCCCGUGGAGAAAUCAAAGUCCCGUAUGAGGUCAAUAAUACGAUUGAGGAAACGUUGUUUGCCCGUUUGUUUCCUGGGAUGACAUCCAUGCCGAACACGACCGUGCUGGCAACUUCGCUGGAGGGCAUGAAAACCCAUGGCGAAGUUUUUAAGAUGAAGCUACUCAUGUACCUGAUCUCAGCUGUUUUUGCGCCGACCACAUCUCUUCGCCCAAGCAACAAAUGCUUCCCCAUCUUGGCAAAACUGAAAGAAGUGAAGAACAUGAAUUGGUGUAAGUUCAUUGCGGACUUCCUGCAUGAUGCAUUCUCAAAUAAGAUGUACCAGAAGGGUUGUCGACUCCAUUUAAUGCUCAUUUACGUCGAUCGUCUUGAUCUAUCCACUGUGGACUUUACUGGGAUAGGAGGCCCGCCGCCUCCACACAAUUUUGUUGUUUCUGCGUGGACUUACGAUGCUGUCAAGGUUGUGCUUGCCACGGACAAGAUAACUGAUACGAAAUACGGGAAACUGUAG
This 666-nucleotide ribosomal RNA is filed under the name Triticum aestivum (bread wheat). Its description in RNAcentral is "partial small subunit ribosomal RNA". Lineage: Eukaryota; Viridiplantae; Streptophyta; Magnoliopsida; Poales; Poaceae. The record is from RNAcentral.